Molecule: long non-coding RNA, 263 nt
Filed under: Lathyrus oleraceus (garden pea)
Lineage: Eukaryota; Viridiplantae; Streptophyta; Magnoliopsida; Fabales; Fabaceae
Description: Pisum sativum (pea) long non-coding RNA (PSAT_LNC021314)
Source: RNAcentral
UGAUGAGUAAGAUAUUCUUACAGAAUACUCCCUUUGAUGGCUUUCUGGGAUGUAUAUUGGGUGUCGUACUCUGUCAAUACCAUUUGCCAACGAGCAACCCUUCCGGUGAGAGCUGGCUUCUGUAACACCCCAAAAUUUGCCCUCCUCAUUCAUGCAUUCAAUUAGCAUUUCAUAUUGCAUUUCAUCAUGUCAAUCAGAAUUAGAUCCAAGAAACUUUUAAAAAUAAAUAAAUAAAUAAAUAAAUAAAAGAAAAAAUCUCAGAC